AAUAUUGGACAAUGGGUGAGAGCCUGAUCCAGCCAUCCCGCGUGCAGGAAGAAUGCCUUAUGGGUUGUAAACUGCUUUUAUACAGGAAUAAACCACUUUACGUGUAAGGUGUUGAAGGUACUGUAUGAAUAAGCAUCGGCUAACUCCGUGCCAGCAGCCGCGGUAAUACGGAGGAUGCAAGCGUUAUCCGGAUUUAUUGGGUUUAAAGGGUCCGUAGGCGGGGAUAUAAAGUCAGAGUGGAAACCGACAGGCUAAAUGUUCAAACGGCUUUGAAACUUUUUGUCUUGGGUGGAAUUUGAGCCACUGGAAUGUUUUGUGUUACCGUGAAAUGGCAAGAAAAUACACAAAACCACGAUAGCGUAGGCAGGUUGCUAAGUCUUUACUGACGCUGAUGGACGAAAGCGUGGGGAGCAAAC
RNAcentral lists this ribosomal RNA (416 nucleotides) under uncultured bacterium. Its description in RNAcentral is "partial 16S ribosomal RNA". It matches the Rfam family "Bacterial small subunit ribosomal RNA", at positions 360 to 773 of the family's 1533-position model. The record is from RNAcentral.